AACGAACGCUGGCGGCGCGCCUAAUACAUGCAAGUCAAGCGAGAAGACGUAGCAAUACGUUUGUAAAGCGGCGAACGGGUGAGGAAUACAUGGGUAACCUACCCUCGAGUGGGGAAUAACUAGCCGAAAGGUUAGCUAAUACCGCGUACGCUCCUUGGACUUCGGUUCAGGGAGGAAAGCGAUACCGUGGGUAUCGCGCUCUUGGAUGGGCUCAUGUCCUAUCAGCUUGUUGGUGAGGAACGGCUCACCAAGGCUUCGACGGGUAGCUGGUCUGAGAGGACGAUCAGCCACACUGGCACUGCGACACGGGCCAGACUCCUACGGGAGCAGCAGUAGGAAUAUUGCGCAAUGGGCGAAAGCCUGACGCAGCGACGCCGCGUGGGGGAUGAAGGUCUUCGGAUUGU
RNAcentral lists this ribosomal RNA (404 nucleotides) under uncultured bacterium. RNAcentral's name for it is "bacterial SSU rRNA". It matches the Rfam family "Bacterial small subunit ribosomal RNA", at positions 29 to 426 of the family's 1533-position model. The record is from RNAcentral.